CCCCUCUCUCCCUUCCCGAGCGGAGCGUGAGUGUGGGCGGGCCGGCCCCCGUCGGGACUGUCGGCGGCCCGUCGGGAAAGGCGCUUGUGCCGGCCCCUGCCUGCUCCCGCCCGGCACUGGCUGCGUGGGGCGGACGCGCGUGCACAGUCCUCGCCUGUGCUGCCCCGUGCCCGCACCCACUGCCGCUCCUUCCCGCAGCCGUGCCCCUGCGGUUUGCCGGGGAAGGCGUUUGGUCUUUUUCAGUUCCGCGUUUAUGAAUGAGCAGGAGUGCAGUGAAGCCGCCGGGAGCCGGUUACGCCGUGAGAACGCACGUAGCGGGAGUCACGGCCAUUUGCAUGUUUUGUUUCCAUCAGUGCCAUUGCCAUGAACGGAGUGGCGCACUGCCGCGCCCACCUCUCCAUACGGGUCUUCAUUCAUGUUUUUCAGAAAGGUUCAUGCGUGCCAGGGCUGUCAUCUGCCAGCUCUCGGUUUCACGAAGCAAGACACACAUAAGACUGCAGCCAAAGGCAACAUUUUCCCAGGCUGGUUGUUCUUCCAACGGACUGAUGAUGCUAUUUAUUUGUUUAUUUCCCUGGAAUGUUGCACUAACUGCUUGUAAACAUCCCGUAUGCACGUUGGCAAAACCAGUGAGUUUUCAGCCGAAGAGAUUACAUUAGAGCUAUUCGGAAGCUUGAGCAUGUUUGCUCGGUCGGUUGCACAGCAGUCAGCUUGACAGGCAGUGCAAAGAUUCUUAUAUCCAGAUGUGUAACUAGUUCCACUCUGUAUGCUUGGUGCCCAGACAGUCCAGAGGAGGGACAGUUCUUCUUUCCUUUACCGUUCUCUGUCAAAAGGCAAUUCUGCCUAGUGUGAAUAGAGCAGACCUAUUGAACCCAACUCUGAAAAAGGGCAAUGCCCAAGACUGAAGGAAGAUGAUGUUUGGAAAGAAUCAUAGAUUCUAGAAGAAGGAAAGCAACUCAGCAGGGCUUCAGCAACUGCGCAAUUCCAAGACCACUAAAACCAGUAAAGGCCUCUCUGCCAGGAGCGGAAGAGAGGCUAACACAUCUUUCCCUUAGAUUUGUUGACACAUCCAGUGUGUCCUGUUGAUGAGGAGCUGUCACCUCACUGGCUGGCUAUGUAAUUCCUUUGCGUGUGCAGACCAGAAUAUUGUCCACCUUUCCAGCUGUCACAUCACGUAUUCAAGUACAUUUCUUAUCUGCUGGGUAUCAUUACCAGCUGUAGGAUUUUUUUUCAAUAUUUCCUUGAUAAUAAACAUUUUAUAAAAAGUG
Molecule: long non-coding RNA, 1265 nt
Organism: Strigops habroptila (Kakapo)
Lineage: Eukaryota; Metazoa; Chordata; Aves; Psittaciformes; Psittacidae
Exons: 4
Source: RefSeq, a predicted model, not a curated record